Molecule: long non-coding RNA, 570 nt
Organism: Neopsephotus bourkii (Bourke's parrot)
Lineage: Eukaryota; Metazoa; Chordata; Aves; Psittaciformes; Psittacidae
Exons: 3
Source: RefSeq, a predicted model, not a curated record
AGAAGCAGUCUACAGGGGUGGAGAGGGGCACUGUGUGCAUCUCCCCCUGUCUUUUCUUCCUGAGGAUGGAGAGGAACUGAAAGGUGUUUCUCUAUGAAGAGGGUGAACUCCUGCCUGGAUCCUGUUGUUUCCACUCCGGAGUCCUGGCCCUGCCUGCUGUGAGAUGAAAAUGUGUUCAAGAACAAGUGGGGCUUGCUGACAAGCAUGAAAAUUGAACAGACUGAAAGACAGCUGCUGAUCUCGAUGAGCCUUUCCUACAGCAACAGCUUCAGGGUGAUCUUUUAAAACCACUGAUGGAGCAGUUCCUCUGCUUUCCUCCCGUCUCCAGAACCAACUCCGCUGGGAAAUCAGCUUUUUAUCCUUCGUAAACCAACAUCUUUAGUGCCUUGUCACACUGCUGGGCUUUGCACAUAUGUAUCCCCAGGGCUGCAGGACACGACAGGAGCUCCCAAAUAAACCCUUCUGGUAAGAAGCAGAGCGAUAUGGUCACUGGUAGAGGGAAAUGGCUGGGAGAGUCUUGAUCAGAAAAGAAAAAGCACCGAGGGCCACUGCGAGCUGGAAGGGUUUCGC